Molecule: ribosomal RNA, 400 nt
Filed under: uncultured bacterium
Lineage: Bacteria
Description: bacterial SSU rRNA
Rfam family: Bacterial small subunit ribosomal RNA
Source: RNAcentral
UUAGGAAUAUUGGACAAUGGGCGCAAGCCUGAUCCAGCCAUGCCGCGUGAGUGAUGAAGGCCUUCGGGUUGUAAAGCUCUUUAGCCGACGAAUAUAAUGACUGUAGUCGGAAAAUAAGCCCCGGCUAACUUCGUGCCAGCAGCCGCGGUAAUACGAAGGGGGCGAGCGUUAUUCGGAAUCACUGGGCGUAAAGCGUAUGUAGGCGGUUAUGUAAGUUAGGAGUGAAAGCCCAGGGCUUAACCUUGGAAUUGCUCUUAAAACUACAUGACUCGAAUUCGGUAGAGGAUAGUGGAAUUAUCAGUGUAGCAGUGAAAUGCGUAGAUAUUGAUAGGAACACCAGUGGCGUAGGCGACUAUCUGGACCGACAUUGACGCUGAGAUACGAAAGCGUGGGUAGCAAA